GAACGCGAAGAACCUUACCCGGGAUUGAAAUGUAGAUGACCGCUCCUGAAAGGGAGUUUUCCUUCGGGACAUCUAUGUAGGUGCUGCAUGGUUGUCGUCAGCUCGUGCCGUGAGGUGUCGGCUUAAGUGCCAUAACGAGCGCAACCCCUNUCUACGGUUGCCAUCAGGUGAUGCUGGGAACUCCGUAGAGACUGCCGUCGUAAGGCGUGAGGAAGGUGGGGAUGACGUCAAAUCAGCACGGCCCUUACAUCCGGGGCGACACACGUGUUACAAUGGUAAGGACAAAGGGCAGCUACCUGGCGACAGGAUGCGAAUCUCUAAACCUUAUCACAGUUCGGAUCGGAGUCUGCAACUCGACUCCGUGAAGCUGGAUUCGCUAGUAAUCGCGCAUCAGCCAUGGCGCGGUGAAUACGUUCCCGGGUCUUGUACACACC
Molecule: ribosomal RNA, 434 nt
Filed under: uncultured bacterium
Lineage: Bacteria
Description: bacterial SSU rRNA
Rfam family: Bacterial small subunit ribosomal RNA
Source: RNAcentral